GACGAACGCUGGCGGCGUGCUUAACACAUGCAAGUCGAGCGGUAAGGCCCUUUCGGGGGUACGACGAGCGGCGAACGGGUGAGUAACACGUGGGUGACCUGCCCUCAGCUCUGGGAUAAGCCUGGGAAACCGGGGUACUAAUACUGGAUAUGACUCCAUGACGCAUGUUGUGGGGUGGAAAGCCUUGUGCGGCUGAGGAUGGGCCCGCGGCCUAUCAGCUUGUUGGUGGGGUGAUGGCCUACCAAGGCGACGACGGGUAGCCGGCCUGAGAGGGCGACCGGCCACACUGGGACUGAGACACGGCCCAGACUCCUACGGGA
This 320-nucleotide ribosomal RNA is filed under the name uncultured bacterium. RNAcentral describes it as "bacterial SSU rRNA". It matches the Rfam family "Bacterial small subunit ribosomal RNA", at positions 28 to 346 of the family's 1533-position model. The record is from RNAcentral.